Molecule: ribosomal RNA, 268 nt
Filed under: Bacillus thuringiensis
Lineage: Bacteria; Bacillati; Bacillota; Bacilli; Caryophanales; Bacillaceae
Description: partial 16S ribosomal RNA
Rfam family: Bacterial small subunit ribosomal RNA
Source: RNAcentral
UAAUACAUGCAAGUCGAGCGGACAGAUGGGAGCUUGCUCCCUGAUGUUAGCGGCGGACGGGUGAGUAACACGUGGGUAACCUGCCUGUAAGACUGGGAUAACUCCGGGAAACCGGGGCUAAUACCGGAUGCUUGUUUGAACCGCAUGGUUCAAACAUAAAAGGUGGCUUCGGCUACCACUUACAGAUGGACCCGCGGCGCAUUAGCUAGUUGGUGAGGUAACGGCUCACCAAGGCAACGAUGCGUAGCCGACCUGAGAGGGUGAUCGG